This 2903-nucleotide ribosomal RNA is filed under the name Escherichia coli. RNAcentral describes it as "23S ribosomal RNA". It matches the Rfam family "Bacterial large subunit ribosomal RNA". The record is from RNAcentral. Lineage: Bacteria; Pseudomonadati; Pseudomonadota; Gammaproteobacteria; Enterobacterales; Enterobacteriaceae.
GGUUAAGCGACUAAGCGUACACGGUGGAUGCCCUGGCAGUCAGAGGCGAUGAAGGACGUGCUAAUCUGCGAUAAGCGUCGGUAAGGUGAUAUGAACCGUUAUAACCGGCGAUUUCCGAAUGGGGAAACCCAGUGUGAUUCGUCACACUAUCAUUAACUGAAUCCAUAGGUUAAUGAGGCGAACCGGGGGAACUGAAACAUCUAAGUACCCCGAGGAAAAGAAAUCAACCGAGAUUCCCCCAGUAGCGGCGAGCGAACGGGGAGGAGCCCAGAGCCUGAAUCAGUGUGUGUGUUAGUGGAAGCGUCUGGAAAGGCGCGCGAUACAGGGUGACAGCCCCGUACACAAAAAUGCACAUGCUGUGAGCUCGAUGAGUAGGGCGGGACACGUGGUAUCCUGUCUGAAUAUGGGGGGACCAUCCUCCAAGGCUAAAUACUCCUGACUGACCGAUAGUGAACCAGUACCGUGAGGGAAAGGCGAAAAGAACCCCGGCGAGGGGAGUGAAAAAGAACCUGAAACCGUGUACGUACAAGCAGUGGGAGCCUCUUUAUGGGGUGACUGCGUACCUUUUGUAUAAUGGGUCAGCGACUUAUAUUCUGUAGCAAGGUUAACCGAAUAGGGGAGCCGAAGGGAAACCGAGUCUUAACUGGGCGUUAAGUUGCAGGGUAUAGACCCGAAACCCGGUGAUCUAGCCAUGGGCAGGUUGAAGGUUGGGUAACACUAACUGGAGGACCGAACCGACUAAUGUUGAAAAAUUAGCGGAUGACUUGUGGCUGGGGGUGAAAGGCCAAUCAAACCGGGAGAUAGCUGGUUCUCCCCGAAAGCUAUUUAGGUAGCGCCUCGUGAAUUCAUCUCCGGGGGUAGAGCACUGUUUCGGCAAGGGGGUCAUCCCGACUUACCAACCCGAUGCAAACUGCGAAUACCGGAGAAUGUUAUCACGGGAGACACACGGCGGGUGCUAACGUCCGUCGUGAAGAGGGAAACAACCCAGACCGCCAGCUAAGGUCCCAAAGUCAUGGUUAAGUGGGAAACGAUGUGGGAAGGCCCAGACAGCCAGGAUGUUGGCUUAGAAGCAGCCAUCAUUUAAAGAAAGCGUAAUAGCUCACUGGUCGAGUCGGCCUGCGCGGAAGAUGUAACGGGGCUAAACCAUGCACCGAAGCUGCGGCAGCGACGCUUAUGCGUUGUUGGGUAGGGGAGCGUUCUGUAAGCCUGUGAAGGUGUGCUGUGAGGCAUGCUGGAGGUAUCAGAAGUGCGAAUGCUGACAUAAGUAACGAUAAAGCGGGUGAAAAACCCGCUCGCCGGAAGACCAAGGGUUCCUGUCCAACGUUAAUCGGGGCAGGGUGAGUCGACCCCUAAGGCGAGGCCGAAAGGCGUAGUCGAUGGGAAACAGGUUAAUAUUCCUGUACUUGGUGUUACUGCGAAGGGGGGACGGAGAAGGCUAUGUUGGCCGGGCGACGGUUGUCCCGGUUUAAGCGUGUAGGCUGGUUUUCCAGGCAAAUCCGGAAAAUCAAGGCUGAGGCGUGAUGACGAGGCACUACGGUGCUGAAGCAACAAAUGCCCUGCUUCCAGGAAAAGCCUCUAAGCAUCAGGUAACAUCAAAUCGUACCCCAAACCGACACAGGUGGUCAGGUAGAGAAUACCAAGGCGCUUGAGAGAACUCGGGUGAAGGAACUAGGCAAAAUGGUGCCGUAACUUCGGGAGAAGGCACGCUGAUAUGUAGGUGAAGCGACUUGCUCGUGGAGCUGAAAUCAGUCGAAGAUACCAGCUGGCUGCAACUGUUUAUUAAAAACACAGCACUGUGCAAACACGAAAGUGGACGUAUACGGUGUGACGCCUGCCCGGUGCCGGAAGGUUAAUUGAUGGGGUUAGCGCAAGCGAAGCUCUUGAUCGAAGCCCCGGUAAACGGCGGCCGUAACUAUAACGGUCCUAAGGUAGCGAAAUUCCUUGUCGGGUAAGUUCCGACCUGCACGAAUGGCGUAAUGAUGGCCAGGCUGUCUCCACCCGAGACUCAGUGAAAUUGAACUCGCUGUGAAGAUGCAGUGUACCCGCGGCAAGACGGAAAGACCCCGUGAACCUUUACUAUAGCUUGACACUGAACAUUGAGCCUUGAUGUGUAGGAUAGGUGGGAGGCUUAGAAGUGUGGACGCCAGUCUGCAUGGAGCCGACCUUGAAAUACCACCCUUUAAUGUUUGAUGUUCUAACGUUGACCCGUGAUCCGGGUUGCGGACAGUGUCUGGUGGGUAGUUUGACUGGGGCGGUCUCCUCCUAAAGAGUAACGGAGGAGCACGAAGGUUGGCUAAUCCUGGUCGGACAUCAGGAGGUUAGUGCAAUGGCAUAAGCCAGCUUGACUGCGAGCGUGACGGCGCGAGCAGGUGCGAAAGCAGGUCAUAGUGAUCCGGUGGUUCUGAAUGGAAGGGCCAUCGCUCAACGGAUAAAAGGUACUCCGGGGAUAACAGGCUGAUACCGCCCAAGAGUUCAUAUCGACGGCGGUGUUUGGCACCUCGAUGUCGGCUCAUCACAUCCUGGGGCUGAAGUAGGUCCCAAGGGUAUGGCUGUUCGCCAUUUAAAGUGGUACGCGAGCUGGGUUUAGAACGUCGUGAGACAGUUCGGUCCCUAUCUGCCGUGGGCGCUGGAGAACUGAGGGGGGCUGCUCCUAGUACGAGAGGACCGGAGUGGACGCAUCACUGGUGUUCGGGUUGUCAUGCCAAUGGCACUGCCCGGUAGCUAAAUGCGGAAGAGAUAAGUGCUGAAAGCAUCUAAGCACGAAACUUGCCCCGAGAUGAGUUCUCCCUGACUCCUUGAGAGUCCUGAAGGAACGUUGAAGACGACGACGUUGAUAGGCCGGGUGUGUAAGCGCAGCGAUGCGUUGAGCUAACCGGUACUAAUGAACCGUGAGGCUUAACCUU